Ictidomys tridecemlineatus (thirteen-lined ground squirrel) is the source of this 267-nucleotide long non-coding RNA. The record is from Ensembl. Lineage: Eukaryota; Metazoa; Chordata; Mammalia; Rodentia; Sciuridae.
UCUAGCCUAUUCAGCACUUGUAUUUUUACAUCCACAUAGAGAAUCCUACCUGAUUUCCCAGCUACAUUCUUGUGAGGUGGUUGUCUUGGCAGAUACAAACUGUGAGAAGAGAUCACUCCUCCUAAAUGCUGUUGGAACUGAAAAUCAACCUAUGGCCUAUUCAGCACAUGUAUUUUUACAUGCACAUAUAGAAUCCUACCUGGUUUCCCAGCUACAUUUUUGUGAGGUGGCUGACUUGGAAGAUACAAACUAUGAGAAGAAAUCACU